RNAcentral lists this ribosomal RNA (497 nucleotides) under uncultured bacterium. Its description in RNAcentral is "partial 16S ribosomal RNA". It matches the Rfam family "Bacterial small subunit ribosomal RNA", at positions 28 to 507 of the family's 1533-position model. The record is from RNAcentral.
GAUGAACGCUGGCGGCGUGCCUAAUACAUGCAAGUCGAGCGAACAGAUUAGGAGCUUGCUCCUCUGACGUUAGCGGCGGACGGGUGAGUAACACGUGGAUAACCUACCUAUAAGACUGGGAUAACUUCGGGAAACCGGAGCUAAUACCGGAUAAUAUAUUGAACCGCAUGGUUCGAUAGUGAAAGACGGUUUUGCUGUCACUUAUAGAUGGAUCCGCGCCGCAUUAGCUAGUUGGUAAGGUAACGGCUUACCAAGGCAACGAUGCGUAGCCGACCUGAGAGGGUGAUCGGCCACACUGGAACUGAGACACGGUCCAGACUCCUACGGGAGGCAGCAGUAGGGAAUCUUCCGCAAUGGGCGAAAGCCUGACGGAGCAACGCCGCGUGAGUGAUGAAGGUCUUCGGAUCGUAAAACUCUGUUAUUAGGUAAGAACAAAUGUGUAAGUAACUAUGCACGUCUUGACGGUACCUAAUCAGAAAGCCACGGCUAACUACGUG